GGGGAACCUGACGCAGCGACGCCGCGUGAGCGAAGAAGGCCUUCGGGUUGUAAAGCUCUGUCUUCCCUGACGAAAAGAUGACGGUAAGGGAGGAGGAAGCCACGGCCAACUACGUGCCAGCAGCCGCGGUAAUACGUAGGUGGCGAGCGUUGUCCGGAAUUAUUGGGCGUAAAGGGUGCGUAGGCGGCUCUUUAAGUGAGGUGUGAAAACCCUGGGCUCAACUCAGGGAUGGCACUUCAAACUGGGGAGCUAGAGUGCAGGAGAGGAAAGCGGAAUUCCCAGUGUAGCGGUGAAAUGCGUAGAGAUUGGGAGGAACACCAGUGGCGAAGGCGGCUUUCUGGACUGUAACUGACGCUGAGGCACGAAAGCGUGGGGAGCAAACAGGAUUAGAUACCCUGGUAGUCCACGCUGUAAACGAUGAGUGCUAGGUGUGGGAGGCGUAGCCUUCCGUGCCGCAGUUAACACAUUAAGCACUCCGCCUGGGGAGUACGGUCGCAAGAUUAAAACUCAAAGGAAUGGACGGA
This 524-nucleotide ribosomal RNA is filed under the name uncultured Caloramator sp. RNAcentral's name for it is "bacterial SSU rRNA". It matches the Rfam family "Bacterial small subunit ribosomal RNA", at positions 374 to 917 of the family's 1533-position model. Lineage: Bacteria; Bacillati; Bacillota; Clostridia; Eubacteriales; Clostridiaceae. The record is from RNAcentral.